AGAGCGAACGCUGGCGGCAGGCCUAACACAUGCAAGUCGAGCGCCCCGCAAGGGGAGCGGCAGACGGGAGAGUAACACGUGGGAACGUACCCUUCAGUUCGGAACAACCCAGGGAAACUUGGGCUAAUACCGAAUACGUCCGUAAGGAGAAAGAUUUAUCGCUGAAGGAUCGGCCCGCGUCUGAUUAGCUAGUUGGUGAGGUAACGGCUCACCAAGGCUACGAUCAGUAGCUGGUCUGAGAGGAUGAUCAGCCACAUUGGGACUGAGACACGGCCCAAACUCCUACGGGAGGCAGCAGUGGGGAAUAUUGGACAAUGGGCGCAAGCCUGAUCCAGCCAUGCCGCGUGAGUGAUGAAGGCCUUAGGGUUGUAAAGCUCUUUCACCCACGACGAUAAUGACGGUAGUGGGAGAAGAAGCCCCGGCUAACUUCGUGCCAGCAGCCGC
Molecule: ribosomal RNA, 444 nt
Filed under: uncultured bacterium
Lineage: Bacteria
Description: SSU rRNA
Rfam family: Bacterial small subunit ribosomal RNA
Source: RNAcentral